Molecule: long non-coding RNA, 394 nt
Organism: Gopherus evgoodei (Goodes thornscrub tortoise)
Lineage: Eukaryota; Metazoa; Chordata; Testudines; Testudinidae
Exons: 3
Source: RefSeq, a predicted model, not a curated record
UUAAAGCAAGAACACCAACAACCCACAACCCUGUAAAUGAACCAGAAACCCUGGAACAGGGUUAAUUUGCUUAACAAGGAGGAAACCCCCAUGACUGGAAUCAGAGUCUGAGAAGAGUUGUGCAGAGACGUAAGGGCCAUGACAUUCUAAGAUCCCAAUCCUGCAGGAUACUGAGUGCCUUCAACUUCCAUUGACUCUGACGGGACUUGAGAUGACUCAUCCAAGGGUGCUGCAUUACAAGCAACAGUCCAUAUGUGGAGUUGAACAGGUGUUGCCCUCUGAAACUCAGACCGAUUUUCCCUAGCUGGGACAGUCUGUGGCUAGACCAUGGACAGAGGUUUGUGAGUUGCUAUUGCAUGUAAGCUAAUGAAGAUGGUCAUUUAGCUGAAGCACU